This 591-nucleotide ribosomal RNA is filed under the name uncultured archaeon. RNAcentral's name for it is "bacterial SSU rRNA". It matches the Rfam family "Archaeal small subunit ribosomal RNA", at positions 692 to 1283 of the family's 1478-position model. The record is from RNAcentral.
UGACGGUGAGGGACGAAAGCCAGGGAGCGAACCCGGAUUAGAUACCCCGAGUAGUCCUGGCCGUAAACGCUGUGAGCUAGGUGUUGCGUCAGCAACCUGCUGGCGCAGUGUCGAAACGAAGGUGUUAAGCUCACCGCCUGGGAAGUACGGUCGCAAGACUGAAACUUUAAGGAAUUGGCGGGGGAGCACCACGAGGGGUGCGGCGUGCGGUUUAAUCUAACUCAACGCAGAGAACCUCACUAGGGGCGACGGCAGGAUGAAGAUCAGCUUGAAGAGCUUAUCUGACAAGCCGAGAGGUGGUGCAUGGCCGCCGUCAGCUCGUGCUGUGAAGUGUCCUCUUAAGUGAGGCAACGAGCGAGACCUGUAUCUGCAAUUGCUAACAGCCACAUGUGGGACUGAGCACUUUGCAGAGACUGCUCCGGAAACGGAGAGGAAGGUGCAGGCUACGGUAGGUCUGUAUGCCCCGAAUCCCCUAGGCUACACGCGCGCAACAAUGGUUAGGACAAUGGGAUGCAACUCCGAAAGGAGAAGCUAAACCUCUAAACCUAAUCCAAGUCUAGAUUGAGGCUUGCAACUCAGCCUCAUGACAAC